Serinus canaria (Common canary) is the source of this 3911-nucleotide long non-coding RNA. RefSeq lists it as uncharacterized. The record is from RefSeq and is a predicted model, not a curated record. NCBI's taxonomy places the organism in Eukaryota, Metazoa, Chordata, Aves, Passeriformes, Fringillidae. The transcript has 3 exons.
GAGGGGCGCGGCGCUGCCCCCCCGACACACAGACAGACACACACCCCGGGUUUGUCUGUAGUUGCGCGCCAGCUGAUAAAUACCAAAUGCCGACGGAUUUCUCAAGAUGACCUUUUCGCUCUUCCAGCACUGCAUUUGAUGUGAAGUCACUACUGAGAAGAUCAGCUCUUAUGAAGAAGCUGAAACCCAAACAAUUCUUCUGUCCUAAUUUGGAGAUCAGAUUGUCCAUUUGAUUCAUAUAUACAGAACAUCUGUUUAAACCCACACUGGAUAGCUGCCAGAUUACUGGAAAGGAUAUGGUAUAAAGAAGACUUUUGUUUCCUCCGAGCAAGGAGAAAAAAUAAGUUACAAGUUGGUGCAGAUUGCCGAGAAGAAGCAACUUUUUCUCUCCAGAAGCAGAUGUCCUGUAGUGUUUGAAAAUGAAAUGUUUUUGUGUCUUGCAGGCAAAGGUUCUGUGCUUCAACAAUAUUGAUUGUCAGUUAGUGCAGGCUGUCAGCCUGCCGUGGUUAACCUACCAGUUGUUGGAGAGACAAUCACGAGCAAUUAAGAAUCACAUUUUGCAGUUUCAAAUGCAUCCAUAUUGCCACUUCAUUCAAAAUCCUUUUUUUUUCCAUGUUGGAAAGUACAUUGGUGAGAGAGAGGGAAGGAGUUUUCUUUUUUCCUCCUGCCAACCAUAUUUUCAUUGCUGGCCAAAUUAAGAGAGAUAUAUAAUGCUCAUAAAGUUGCUGCAGUUUCUUGAUUAAAAUCUUACAUCCAGCACUCCUUUCAACAUCAAUCUAUAUUAAUAAGGAGGGAGCACAUUGCAUUGCAUGUCUCUGUGUUGUGCCUUAGACACAAAGCACCAGGGAAGCAUCAAGGAAAGAUUCAGCUGCAGAACCAGCAGUAGCACAAAGAGGAAAGGACUGUUCUUCAUGAGGACAGACCCUUGUGAUUUGAAACAAGAAAAUGGAUAGGAAGAUUAAAACCAAGAAGAGCCAAGGGCUUAGCAGCUGAAAUUACACCAGUGCAGCAGUUGUGGGAAUGGCUGGUGGAGUCAGGGUAGCAAAGAGCUGAAAUCAACCUGAGAAAAACAGCCCACGUGAGAUGAAAAUGGAGCACUACACAUUCCCAAAAUCAGAGUGCCUGGAAAGCCUGUGGCUCUUGCCACCUCUCUGCCAACCAUCCUUCAGGGCUUCAGUAGCUGGUGGCCCUUUAAAGAGAAAUAUCAGAGGCACUGGGUCUGGGCACACUCUCACCAUACCUCAAUUUGUCACAAAGCCUGUGCCAGGCACUAUGAACAUUAUGCUGUGACAAACUGUGCCUACUGUCACCUUAGCUGGUGGUUUCAGUCCAAACACCUGGGAACCAUCUCAACAUCAUAAACCAGCAUGACUUAGAAGGACUUUGGGCAAAGACAAAUCCUGCCUCCUUUUCCAGAACUAUUCCAUACAAAAUCAUUUCCUAAAAGCAGCAAAAAAUCCAUCAGUUCUUCAAAGACAGCACGCCACUCACAGCCUCAAAGGAGGUUACCAACCAUCAGAUGACUCCCACCAUGGGGUUUCUCCACACCCUAAACCUCAGAAGCCCUUCCUGUGCCUCUGUAACCCACCUCUCAUGACAUCCUUGUGUUCCCUGGGUCUAUAAUGCUCAGGGGAAUGGGACUGGGAGCAGCCCUUGCAGGUUUUGUUGGUGAGAAUAUGCGCCUUGCAGACACAUGGGGCUCUUCCUUAUACACAGGGAGAGCAAGAAAAUGUCAAGUCCUAAGCAAACCCAUAGACAUUGUUCAGAGAUUGUCAGGAGCAACCAGUAGAAAAUGUCACCACAUGCUUCACAGCUCAGAGGAUCAGAAAAAGAAGUUGGCUGUGACCCUGUCCUUGGGAAGGGUUUUUUCCCCACUCUGCACUCCAUUCCAAGAGCAUUAUAAGCCCCCCAAACACACUAAGCCAGCAAUGGACUUGAGCUGAGUCCCACAGAGCUGCUGUGGCAUUGCAGCACUAAUGGGUUAAUACAGAAAUCUUCAUGAUUUAGGAUCUCAGCAGAAGUAUUUCAGAAAGGAUGUGCAAUUUGGGUCAGGAGUACUGCAAAUGAAAGAUGCUCAAACUGGGGAAUCCAGAGAAAAAAGGGAAAUUAUGCAGCUGAAUAAUAUUGAAAAAUCAUUUCCUACAUGCAAAUGUACACAGGUUCUGAUACCAAGGCUGAUAUGAGUAUAGAAGUGAAGAGUUUCAUCUUUAGUAAGACUUUGUCAAUUCAAAACUUAGAUUAAAGGGAUUUCUGUGCAGUAGCUCUCUGACCAUCUUCACCUCUUCUCUGUACAAAACACAAGUUUGUGGUUUUACAAUCACAUUUUCCUAUUUUUAAAACAUGUUUUCUCUGCUGUCUUGCUCUGUGAGAAAGACAUUGAAAGUGCAAGAGAAACUGUCUCAACAGAGGAAACUGAAAUGGUUUCGUGCAUGACAUGUGAACGAGGGAACAAAGUAAACACUGACAAAAAUAGAAAGCAGUGCUUUAUUUUCUCUCUGAUCUUUCAUUUUUAGGGGAUAUUUGUGAUUACAGAGAACUUCCAACAUUUCAGGCAAAUGGGAAAUUUUUAAGCAACUGAUGUAAUAGAGAGUUUAGGUGUUAGCAUGCGAUGGAACAAUAUCUUAUUCUUCCUGACAGCAGGAUACAAAGAUUGUUUGUAUUUAGGACUCUUCCUGAACUGAGCAAGAGCAAUGGAGAAAUGGCUUUAAAUGGACUGCAGAUCUUUGCAGCACACUCCAUAACUCUGAUUGCUCUGUCUCUUUGAUUCAUCUAGGGUUAAGCAUUCAAGAAAACUUAACAUGUUUUUUUUCCCCCCUUCUCCUAUGUCUGUCUUUGAGCUGAGGAGGAGUUUUCUAUCAACUGAUUCAAGCUGUGGAAAAGUACCCUGAGCACCUCACUGUUAUUUAUGAUCCCCAAAAUCUUGUUCCUGUUACCAGAGAUGAGAAACUUGAGAAAAUCACUUGGUCUUAUGCUAAUCUCGAUCAAACUGUUGACACUGACAUUAAGCAAACAUACUGGGGUGUAAUUACAUUUCACACUGAUCUAUGAAAUAUUCAUGUAAUAAUAACGAAUACAUACAUGCAAUCCUACAAUAUCAUCAUCAUAAACUGUGGUCAAAUAUGUAUGAUAUUUGCAAUUCUUAUACCUUGUUCAUAUAAAUAAAUAUUCAUUAGAACUGAAACUAAUUACUGCAUGGUUGAUGACAGCUGAGAAUAUUAAGCACCACUACUGAAUUAUGCCUUCAAAGACAAUGAAAUGACAUUCAUUUUUAAGUUGGGUCAGUUUAUUUGUCCAGCUAUGAUAAUAUUUUUUUUCCAAUGGAAAUAAUAAUGUUUAUAGUAAUUAUCAUGACAAUGUCUAAGCAUUUUUUGUGACUAGUAAUCAAAUUAGGGAGCUGCAAGUGUCUGUAACUACAACAAUGUUAGUCUAUUUUCAUAUUUAAAAUUGGCCUUUCCCACAGCUCAUUCAAGUUUAUGUUCUAGCCACAUGUCCCACAGAUAAAUAAACAGAUGCUCUAUAUAAAGAGUUAGAUCAUAUUCUGAAUGAGUGAGGAACAUAUGUCAUCAUUAAGGGAAGCUUCAGUGCCAACACUGGCAUUAAGGUAGAGGAAAGAAAACAAGGAGGAACUUGAAAUAGAGCAACAUAAUCCCAAGGAAGUUGUCAAAACCAGAAGAGAGGUUAUUUGUGCUAGAGUUGGCAAGAAAAUGUUGUUCUGCAGUUUUUACUGAAAAACAAAAGAAUAGCUAGAGGAAAUUUUGAUUUUUAAUUAAAAAACAUCCUCUGUUGUUGGUAGUUCUGGCCUGGAACCAGAGAGUAUGUUUUUUUACCUUAACAUGCCAAAUCCCUAUGUUUUGUUUGCGCUGAACUUUUUGUGCAGUGUUUGAGGUGCUCAGUAAAAACAAGAAAACAAA